Chenopodium quinoa (quinoa) is the source of this 8716-nucleotide long non-coding RNA. RefSeq lists it as uncharacterized. The transcript has 2 exons. Lineage: Eukaryota; Viridiplantae; Streptophyta; Magnoliopsida; Caryophyllales; Amaranthaceae. The record is from RefSeq and is a predicted model, not a curated record.
AUUAUACAUAUAUAAUUGUACAUUAUAAUGUAGCACUGCAGAGUUAACUAUGCGCAGAGAUGCACUCUAUUAAAACACGGAUGGAGUAUUUAUGCUUAUUUUAGAGCGCUCAACCACUAAACUACAAUCUAGAAUGCUAACUUUACACACAAAAAUAAAACUUACAAGGGGCCAGCCUUCAAUCAUAGUAUCAUCUAAUUCUCUCUUCUCCAUUUUCUUCCUUGCUCAUGUUGUCGUCAACUAAUUGUUUCUUCUCCUGCAAUAUUAAGUCCAUUAAUAAUCUGUAAGUGGGCACUUGAGCUAAAGGGGGUGCUUGUGGUGGUGUAGGGGUGGUGAAUUCGCUAGGCUAGCUUGCUGCAGUAGUUUUGAUCAUCGGCGACGAGUAGCUGAAAAUAAUUGGGUAAAUAACCCUCUUCGUCUCUUUAAUUCAAUGGUAAAUAUCCUUGCAUUUAAGUGGGUCUUGAUGACAAUGAUGAAUAAGAUUUAGAGGGAUGAUGGGUCUGAUUUAGUUUCCGCUGAAAAUUUAGGGGUUUGGAUUAGAGAUUAUGCUCGUUAGGUAACAUAUAAAAUGCUAUUCAUUUGAAUGCUUUUUUGUUUUUUAUUACUUUGGAAAUUGAUGUGUUUGAAUUGUUGUUAAAUGCUUUGUGUAGACAUGGGCAUGUUAGGGUAGCUUCCGAUCACAUAUAUUGUUAGAUGUAAUGUGAGAAAUUUGUAUAUUUAAAUGCUUUAGUACAGUUUCUUGAGUUGCUCUCACAAUAGUUAAGUACUAUUGAAAAUUUAAACCACUAGUUUGAAGUAAAACUAAGUGGAAAAAAUAAAAUAAGGCAGAAGAAUUGAAGAAAGCCCAUAAAUAUUGCUGGCAAAACUGAAGUUUAAUACACAUCAGUAGUAGGUGGCCAGAAAGCACCAAAGUUUAGGCUAAUUCUAACUUAUGUUAGUCUUAUUCAAAGCCUUUUUUUUUAUUGAGGUUGCUUUUUCCUUUUGGAUUCGUUUUAUUAAUAUCAGGAGCUCCAGCUGCUAGCCUGCUACAGUUGGGCAACCUCUACCCUCUAAGCUUUUACAAUGCCUGACCCACAAUAUUGUUCCAAGUGCAAUGCUAAGAAAUUUGCUUAUGAGUCUUUGCAUUUUUGUUGUGGAAAUGGUGAUGUUCGAAUUGCAGCAAAUGAAUACCUUUUGAACUUAUAAGGCAUUUACCUUCGCAAGAAGAAAUUGCUAUGCAUUUUAGAAAGUAUGCAAGGUUAUAUAAUAACCUAUUUGCCUUCAGCACUAUAGGAGGGAAUUUUGAUGCUGAUACAUAUAAGGGCAUUUAUGUGUUUAAAUUGCAUGGACAACUAUAUCAUUUUGUCCCUGAUCUUUUGCCCGCUGAUAGUAACCCUAAGUAUCUACAACUUUAUUUUUAUGAUGGCCAGAAUGAGACUGAGAAUCGUUUAGGAUGUUUUCCUGAAUUGACAAGAAGUCACAGACAUUUUAAUGAACGUCUAAAGAUAAUUCUUAUGCUAGAUUUUUUCGAUCUUAGAAAUAAGUAGAAGUAAAUGAAGAUACUAAGAUUGUCAUAAAUCAAAAUACCGUGCUUGAUCAACAAGUAUAUAAUGCCCCAGCUUGUGAUGAAGUUGCUGUGAUUUGGCCUAAUAAAACUUCUUCAAGUGAAAGUUUAGGCCCACAUAUUCUUGUAUCAGGUAAAUCAGCUGACUCUCAUAGAAUUCAGCAUUAUUACGGUUGUUAUUAUCCACUACAAUAUCCUUUGCUUUUUCCACGGGGAGAAUGGAAUCAAGGGCUGAAGAAAAUGUCUCACGGUGGACAUAGGCAAGCUGAUACCGAGGUUGACCCUGUUCAGUCUUGUGCUGUGCACAAUGUAGAAGAUUUGCUUGCUCAAGAAGCUACACGUAAGCCCUUUUUUAAUUUUUUUUAAAGUGAAUUAAAGAUGAAAGGGUUUAGAUAAUCAUACUUUGCUCCAUGUUACUGCUGUCUAAGGAUUUCAUAUCUUACCAUUACCAUGCUUAUAUUUAUUAUAUAGAUGCAUCUGGUAGACAUACAAAGGCUUAUAAAUUUGUUUCGCCAAGAGAAUAUUAUGCAUAUAAGUUGCAGAUCAAACCGAACUACAUGCUUUUAAGGGCAGGAACAGCAUUUCUCCAGUACAUUGUAGACAUGUAUGUGAAGAUUGAAAAUACGAGGCUUGAUUUUUUCCUUCGACAUCAAGAUAGUAUUAGAGCUAAUCUAUAUCAAGGCAUACUAGAUACAGUUGAAGCUGGAGAGAUUAAUCCAGCAAAUGUUGGCCAUAGAUUUGUUUUACCGCCUACAUUCCUUGGUGGUCCAAGGGAUUUGAAAAGGCGUUACUACAAUGCCAUGGCUCUGGUUCACAGAUUUGGGAAGCCGGAUUAUUUAGCACAAUGACGUGUAAUGCAAGUUGGCCAGAGAUUAAAGCAGAGCUUACCCUUGGGGAAAUCGCACAUGAGAGACCAGAUUUAGUAGCUCGGGUAUUCAGAGCAAAAUUAUUAGCUCUGAAGAAGUAGAUUAUGGAGAUUAAGGUAUUUGGUGAGGUAGGUAUUUGGAAUUCCAGAAAAGGGGGCUACCUCAUGCUCAUAUUUUAUUGAUUCUGAAGCCGGAGUUCAAAUUGAAAAGUCCAGCUGAUUAUGACAAGUAUGUUUCUGCAGAAAUUCCUCCAUUAAGUAAUCCUACAUUGCGUAGGAUUGUAUUAAAGCACAUGAUGCAUGGGCCUUGUGGUCGAAUGAAUCCACAAUGUUCUUGUAUGCAGAAGAAAGGAGGUGAAUUGGUAUGCAAAAGUAGCUAUCCAAAGCCAUUUGUUGAUCAAACCACUACCAACGAAGACGGUUAUCCUUGCUAUCGUAGAACAGAUACGGGAGAAAAAGUAAAGAUCAGAAAUGCUGAGCUGAAUAAUCAAUGGGUAGUCCCAUACAACCCAUAUCUUUCGACACUUUUUGACUGUCAUCUUAAUGUAGAGGUUUACUCCACCAUAAAAGCAGUAAAGUAUCUAUAUAAGUAUGUAUACAAGGGCCAUGAUAAAGUGUCCUUUACUAUAAAACCAGAUGGCAGAUAAGCAACUGAUGAAAUUACACAGUACCAGUUAGGCAGGUGGGUAUCUUCGUGUGAGGCAGCAUGGAGAAUUUUUUGUUUUGAUUUAUAUGAAAUGCACCCUCAUGUACUACUUCUCCCAGUGCAUCUGCCUAAUAGGCAAAUGGUAUGUGUGCACCCAUACGAGCCUUUAGAUAUGGUUGUGGCAAUGGGAUACCGAGCUCGGACUCCAUUGAAUGAGUUUUUUUUUACCAUGAAUGCUGCUACUGAGAAUGGCAUGGGUUAUUUAUAUGUAGAAUUUUGUGAGCAUUACAGGUGGGAUACCUCUACCAAAGCAUGGUUCAAGAGAAAGAAGACUAAAAAAAUUGUGAUAGGCCGUAUGGCAUUUGUAUCUCCAGUGGAAGAUGAAUGCUUCUUCUUAAGACUGCAAUUGUUGAAUGUAAGAAGUCCCUGGUCUUUCGAUGAUCUUCGUACAGUUGGGGGCCAUGUUUGUGCAAGUUUCCAGGAAGCCGCCUACAAACUAGGCCUUUUAGAAGAAGAAGAUGCAGCAAAUGUGUGUUUGUCUGAACCAUGUGAAGUGCAGCUACUCAUGGCCUUACGCCGUCUUUUUGCAACAAUUCUUAUCUUUUGUCAUCCAAGCAAUCCUUCUGCUCUAUGGCAAAAAUAUUACCUUCUUUAUCAGAAGAUUUUGUUCGGCAAUAUCCUUGUUCGGAAAGUAAAAUUAAGCAGCUCACUAUCAGAUCAAUUGAGCAGCAUCUAGAAGCCAUGGGGAAAUCGCUUGAAGGAUGUGGCCUGGAGAACUAAACAAAAUGAAUGAUAAUGAGAUUCGUAUAACCAAGGACAUCUUAGAUGCGUUAGAAGCACCUAUUCUCCAAGAGUGUAUUGACACUCGUAGUUGUUUAAAUACAACUCAAAAAGAAGCUUUUCAGUGUAUUAUGCAACAUGUUAUUGAAGAAAAACCUGGUGCUUUUUUCAUAGAUGGUCCUUGUGGAACCGGAAAGACAUUUUUAUACAAUGCUCUUUACGCUGAAAUUCGUCUUAUGAAUAAGAUUGUUUUACCAACAGCUACAUCAGGUAUCGCUGCAGCAAACAUUCCGUCAGGUCGAACAGCUCAUUCAAGAUUCAAGAUUCCUAUUGAUAAUGAAUCCAUGUUGACAUGUAGUGUAUCAAAGCAGAGUAGCCUAGCAGCGUUAAUUAAAGAAACAACAAUGAUCAUAUGGGAUGAGACAUCAAUGACUGUCAAAUCUAAUCUGUAAUAUUUAGAUUUAUUGCUUCGGAAUAUAUGUGGUGACAACACUCUAUUUGGAGGGAAGGUGAUUGUUUUUAGAUUUUCGGCAAGUGUUGCCUGUGGUCCCAAAAAAAUCACAGAAAGAGGCUGUUGAAGCAAGCAUUGUUAGUUCAUAUCUAUGGCCUAAGCUGAUCAGAUUUAAGCUAACCGAAAGUCUAAGAGCUAGAGAAGAUCCUGCCUUUUCAGCUUUCUUACUUGCUUUGGGUAAUGGUCAGCUGCAAUCCACAGACAGUGAAUUUAUAAAUUUGCCAGAACAAAUAGCAAGGCCUUUUGCUGUUGAUGAAAAUCCAAUCAUUGAAUUAAUAGAAUCAUCUUUUCCAGAGUCACACACAAAUGAGCUAGAUCCCGCGAUCUCUACAAAAAAGGCAGUGUUACACCAGUAAAUGAUGAUGUUGAUACAAUUAAUUCAUUUGUCAUAGAAAAAUUUCCAGGACAACCAGUUGUGUACAAGAGUUAUGAUGUACUUCUUGAUGACUAUUGCAAUGUUUAUCCAAUGGAAUUCAUAAACACAUUAUGUCCAGCAGGUAUGAGCCCUCAUGAACUUGUACUUAAACAAGAUUGUCCGGUAAUAUUGUUACGGAACCUACUUCCUUCUUCUGGUCUAUGCAAUGGCACGCGACUUAUAUGUAAAAGAUUUUACCCAAAUCUGAUAGAAUGUGAAAUUGCAAUUGGACCACUAUCAAGGAGAACGUGUCUUUAUCCCUCGGAUCAAGUUUCAGCCUUCACCGUCUAUGAAAUAUCCUUUCAAAUUUCAGAGGAAUCAGUUUCCAUUAAAGUUCAGUUUUGCUAUGACAAUAAACAAGGCACAAGGGCAAACACUAGAUCAAGUAUCAAUUUAUCUUCCGCGCCCUUGUUUUUCACAUGGACAGUUAUAUGUGGCACUUUCUUGUGCACGAACAUCUGCAAAGGUCACUGUUAUUUCUACAAUGCCACCAUCCCAGUAUUCAGAGACCGCAGUUAAGAAUUUAGUGUCCUAUGCAGUUCUUAAAUUAGCAGGCAUAACUUAAAAUUCUUCUACUUGAACUAGGACAUUGGCAAAUAGCAAGUUGCAAUCGUCAGCCUAUCAAAUUUUACAUAUAUGAUUUAGUUGACUGAAUUGAUGUGUAAGUUUUCUUUUUUUUUUCCUCCCCUGGUAAGGAUUAGUUUGCAGGUUGAUGAUAUUAGAAUUUAUCAGUUUUUAUCGUAAGGAUGCUAAAAUUAUAACGAUCUGUAUUCUAACCUCUUUAGCAUAUAUGCAAAGAAAUUAUUUUGUCAGCAUAUCUUGAUACAUAUAUUAUUUUGAGAGAAGUAAGUGAACGAGAAAGCUGAUUUGUUAAUGUUGUUUUUUUUAUUAAUUUAAUAAGCUGGGUUUUAUCAGAUAGGAACCGUAAUUUAGUACUAAUGCAUCAUUUGACGGAAUUUAUCUUAUUUGAUAUUUCUUUGAUAUGGAUUAUAAAAUUAAGGAGUCAGUAUAACCGAAAAUGAUUGAUAUUGUACCAAAUUUAAUGAAUGAUAGAGUGUUUAAACAAUGUUGUGUUACUAUGUUAUUCCCUCCGUUUCGCAUUAGUUGCAACACUUUUCAUUUUCAACCGUUUCAUAUUAGUUGCAACACUUUUCAUUUUCGACCGUUUCAUAUCAGUUGCAACACUAUUAAAUUUGUAAAGGACCCACCAUUUUUUUUAUAAUUUAUCUCUCCCACUGACCCAUUUCCACAAAUAUUUUAUUAUUUCUCUUUCCUACUAACCCUACCCACACUACUUUUUUUUUAUAAUUUCUAUCUCUUACUAACAAUACUUUAUAUUAUAAGACUACAAGCCUAGUCUAUAAUUUUCUUAAACUAUGAGCCAAGCUUACUGUUGCAACUAAUGUGAAACGGAGGGAGUAGUAUAGUGGGAUUAAAGAAAGAUAAUUAAGAAUAUACAAAGCUUAAAUCUUGCAAAACCCGCAACUGAUUCAAGUGUGGUACUAUGCAUGAUCAACUCAUACUGGUGCAAAGUAUGAUAGCCAGACGUACAAACCUAUCUAUCUGUUUUGCUCUGUUAUGAUUGACGACUGUGUCGAUCUACAAGGUUAAUCUAAUUUGCAAUUUGGUUGUUUCCUUGAACUAAAAAUGUUAUAAGUGAUUUUUAGGUGGUUGUGUUACUUCUCCUCCAUACAUUAUUGGAAGCAAUUAGAAUAAACCUAAACAAUAUCAAGGGUGCGAUAUUUAUGGAAGUAACCCCUGAAUAGCCUUUGGUGCCAUAUAGUUUUUUAGAAAAAAGGGGAGGAUCUCUACCUUCUUUGCUCGGUAAUUGUAGGUGAAGUCCAGUAAGAUUAGCUAUUUGGUGCUUUACAAAAAAAAGCUAUUUGGUUAUGUUAUCUUGCUGAAACACUGCUAUUUCAUUCUUAUCCCUGUUCUCAAACCAUGCUAAAUCUUUACUACUACUUUCCCCCCCUUUUCUGGGAGAAGUUAUAUCUUUACCUGUGUAAGGAGAUUGGAUCAAUAUGUUUGAUUGAAUCUUAUGUGAAGGCUCAACGCACUAACAAUCACGUAAAAUAACUCUUGAAUUAGUGGGCAGAAGGUGUAUGUGGCUUUGUAAACUUUUUGCAAAUUAUAUGGGCUGAUGUAGAAACUAUAUAUAAAUAUCAUAAACCAUAAAAGUAAAUAAAAAUACUAUUCCAUGAUGUGAUGGAAUAAAUAAUUUGGUAGCUUAAUUUUCAUACUAUAUUGCCUAUAUAUAAGUGGAAACGCCAAUACAACCUUGUAUGUUCGGUAAACUCUUUUCUAAAUUACUGAAUUAAGAGAAAGAGAGAAUGGAAGGAGAAGAGAAGAGUACUAGGCAAACAUCAACAGCAAGAACAAAACCAUAUACCCCAAUUUUUCAAGGUUUGUCAUCAAUCAUAAGCAAGUGGAAUUAGCUGUCUGUAAUUACCCUUUCGUGGAGAGGUAAGGAAGACACAGGAUGCCUUCAAGUCAUCUAACAGGCCAAAGGGGUUAGUUCAAAUUACCAAGAGGAUGCAGUAUUAAGACACAAUUUGGUACUCUGAGAAAAUCGAAGAAGGGAAUAUCUUUGAGGUAAGAGUUGAGGACUAUGGAGCCUUUCUCAAUCUGCGCUUCCCUGAUGGUAUAUAUAUGCUUGAGCCUUUUGUUACUGUGAUUGUUUUUUUACCGUAUUUUUUGGCAUCUGGAUGUAUACAACUUAUAUUAUGCAGGAAAAUAUCAUUUUACUGGCUUAAUACAAGUUUCGGAAGUUUUAUGGGAUUAUGUUCAAGAUGUCACUAUGUCAGGGAUGUAUUAAGAGUGGAUGAUGUUGUAAGAGUUAAAAUUGUUAUCAUUGACUGGUAAAAAAUUAAUAAUGCACUCCCUACUGCUAAUAAUCUAAUGAAAAGGGGAAUUAAUGCUUAUAAUGUAUGCAGGUUAUGUCACUUUGAAGAUGAAUCGCGGGAGCAUAUUUUUAGAGAUUGCGAAAUCUCUAGAAGAGUAUGGAAAUGCAGCACAAUGGCAUAGAGCUCAAAAUCAGGGUUUGGAUUCAGAACUUCAUCUCUUCUUUUCUCUGGACAGCAACAAAGAAGAUAGUGUUAUGGACUUUGUGAGUGUUCUCUGAAGCAUUUGGCUCACAAGAAAUAAAGCUACCUUCAACAACAAACAGUGUAAUCCACUCAACAUAAUCUACACUGCCCAACAUUGGAAGAACAUAUGGAUCAAUGGCAAUCUCCUAACAGCAAGAUUGACACCAAUAACUGCAGAUUCUACAGAUGGUGAAAGCAAUGAGCAUAGUACAGAUGGUGACAACUCAAGUGGAACAAGUCAGGAUCAUAUCACUGUGAUUAUUGAUGGUGCCCGGAAGAGGAACGAUCUACCUUCGAUGAAUACUUGGAAAGCUGUUGUAGGAUGGAUUAGUAAAGAAAAAGGUGUAGUGAUUGACAGAGGGAAAGCCCCUGUGUUCGCCUCUACCCCGCUCCAAACUGAAGCCAUGGCUGCUCUUAUGGCAAUAAAAAAUUCAAACCUUACAGGGAGGAAAGUCACUAUGCUCACAGACUCAAGCGAUUUGGUGAAGGUUUUUACUGACAACAGCAAAGCAAAGAGGGAGAUAAAGCAGUUAAGCUUUAUAUUAAACAGGCUGUCAAAAAUUUUGAUAAUUUUGUAAUUGUAAAAGUCAGUAGACUCAAAGUAAAAGAGGCCCAUGAACUAGCUAUAGCAGCUAGGAAGGGUGUAGUCUGUUUUGUUUUCUUGAUUGUCAAAAAAAGGAAAAAAAAAGGAUAAAAAAAAAAAAGAGACAGGUAAAAAUUACUAUAAGUAUAUCACAAUGUGCUAAUAGUGUCACUUAGGAGGCUUGGAUAGUGGCUUGCUAGAAUUUGAUAAUCUUGGUAGUAAAGAUAUUUGGCAUCUCCAUGUUUUGUGGCUGUUUAUCUAAUUAUUCAACUUCUUUACUGGUUGAA